UACUUUAUUUAUAAAGUCUAAUAAUUUAAAUUAUAUUUGAUAUAUUAACUUUAAAAUUUCUAUUAAAGAAUGUUGAGCAGAUGGCAUAUGUAUGUAAAUACAUCUGAGUACUUAGAAUGCUUAAUACAGUACAAAUAUAAUUUCAAGAAAAAAACUUAAAAUACCACCCUUUUGAUUUCGCAUUUUCUCACUUUAGUGCCCUGUGGUUCAAAAUGUAUCACUUUCGUACCCCUGAUUUUUUUUUUUUCUCUUUUUGUUAUUCCCUUGACUAAUUUUUUUUUCGUUCAAUCAGUGACAAAGUUAAAACUAAAAGAUAAUGAAGUAAAUAUUCUACAAACCAUAGGUGGGGUAUUUGAAUUUUUUUUUUUAAUAUAAUUUAACGAAAAGUUAACAGAGAGACUGACGAAAAGAGAAAAUUGAAAUCAUAUGGUACUAAAUUGAUACACUUUAAAUCAUAGGGUACUAAAAUGAAAAAGUGCAAAACCGCAGGGUGAUA
RNAcentral lists this long non-coding RNA (496 nucleotides) under Ananas comosus (pineapple). Its description in RNAcentral is "long non-coding RNA (ACOM_LNC016455)". The record is from RNAcentral. Lineage: Eukaryota; Viridiplantae; Streptophyta; Magnoliopsida; Poales; Bromeliaceae.